UUAUUAAAAACAUGGCUUGUUGAUUAUAAUUUCAGGUCUGGCCUGCCCAAUGAUUAAUUAAAUGGCUGCGGUAUAUUGACCGUGCAAAGGUAGCAUAAUCAUUAGUUUUUUAAUUGAAAGCUUGAAUGAAAGGUUUGAUGAGAAAGUAACUGUCUCUAGAAAAAUUUAUUGGAAUUUUAUUUUUAAGUGAGAAAGCUUAAAUAUAUAUAGAAGACGAGAAGACCCUAUAGAGUUUUAUAGGUGGAUAUAAACUUAAUUUUAAAGAUGCUUAGAUUUAGGUUUAUUUUGUAUCUAUUUUGUUGGGGUGAUAGGAAAAUUUACUAAACUUUUCUUUAAUUUUAAUAUUAAUUUAUAAAUAUAUGAUCCUUGGUUUAGAUUAAAAGAAAAAAUUACCUUAGGGAUAACAGCGUAAUCUUUUCUAGAGUUCUUAUCGAAAAAAUGGGUUGCGACCUCGAUGUUGGAUUAAAAUUUACUUUUGGUGUAGGUGCUAAAAAGUUAGGUCUGUUCGACCUUUAAAAUUUUACAUGAUCUGAGUUUAGACCGGCGUGAGCCAGGUCGGUUUCUAU
RNAcentral lists this ribosomal RNA (566 nucleotides) under Trigonopterus humilis. RNAcentral describes it as "partial large subunit ribosomal RNA". It matches the Rfam family "Bacterial large subunit ribosomal RNA", at positions 1804 to 2641 of the family's 2925-position model. The record is from RNAcentral. Lineage: Eukaryota; Metazoa; Arthropoda; Insecta; Coleoptera; Curculionidae.